CGUCACUGCUGUUAUUAGCAAAGCAAGGCAAACAUCCCCAGGCCAGUGCAGCCAUUAGAGGGAACCACACCUCACUUACCACCCACCUCCCGCGUCCUGGGUGGACCCAAGGCACUCUACAGCCCGAAUGGAGCCCUCUGCUCGAUUAGAACUUAAGAUGACACACUAACUCAGACAUCACAGUUCAGGAUGCAACUGGGAAGGGAAGGGUCCAUUGAAACUGGUCGGAGAAGCCCUGAAGACAAACCUGGGCCCUGGAAAUGGAGAAGAGCAGGCGCUCAGCUCCAGGUCAUGGAGGAAACGCUUGCUGAGAAAUUAGUUCUGGAACUUAGACGAUUCCCAUCGGAUCGUUGCCUCCUGAUCCAGGACGGCUGCCUGAGCCUGGACACCUGCGUUGAGGAGAGUGACGUGAUCAGGUCUGCCAUUGUGGACGAUCGCUGGACCUGCAACGGGAAGGACGCCUUGGGGAGAAAACGCUUCGUAGAAGAAGUGUCUGAAGCCCCUCGCAUUGAAGAACAGCUGGAUCCUGACUGAAUAACUUUUUGAUGUUGGGACGAAAAGAAACGUGGGAGGUCUCCAAGGACCCACACACACGCACACAAGAAACAAACACAAACAUGAGACCUGCGUGCAGACUCGGGAGUGCUGAGCAGUGGCCGC
This 660-nucleotide long non-coding RNA is filed under the name Equus asinus (donkey). Its description in RNAcentral is "lncRNA (ENSEASG00005025045.1)". Lineage: Eukaryota; Metazoa; Chordata; Mammalia; Perissodactyla; Equidae. The record is from RNAcentral.